AGCAGCCGCGGUAAUUCCAGCUCCAAUAGCGUAUAUUAAAGUUGUUGCCGUUAAAAAGCUCGUAGUUGAACCUUGGGCCGGGCUGAUCUGUCCUCCUAAUCGAGCGCACGGAUUCGGUCGGGCCUUUCCUUCUGGGGAGCCCGAUGCCCUUCACUGGGCGUCGUGGGGAACCAGGACUUUUACCUUGAAAAAAUUAGAGUGCUCCAGGCAGGCCUAUGCUCGAAUACAUUAGCAUGGAAUAAUAGAAUAGGACGUGUGGUUCUAUUUUGUUGGUUUCUAGGACCGCCGUAAUGAUUAAUAGGGACAGUCGGGGGCAUCAGUAUUCAAUUGUCAGAGGUGAAAUUCUUGGAUUUAUUGAAGACUAACUACUGCGAAAGCAUUUGCCAAGGAUGUUUUCAUUAAUCAAGAACGAAAGUUAGGGGAUCGAAGACGAUCAGAUACCGUCGUAGUCUUAACCAUAAACUAUGCCGACUAGGGAUCGGACGAUGUUAACUUUUCUUGACUCG
This 506-nucleotide ribosomal RNA is filed under the name uncultured Coniosporium. RNAcentral describes it as "SSU rRNA". It matches the Rfam family "Eukaryotic small subunit ribosomal RNA", at positions 569 to 1078 of the family's 1831-position model. Lineage: Eukaryota; Fungi; Ascomycota. The record is from RNAcentral.